Molecule: long non-coding RNA, 213 nt
Filed under: Elaeis guineensis (African oil palm)
Lineage: Eukaryota; Viridiplantae; Streptophyta; Magnoliopsida; Arecales; Arecaceae
Description: long non-coding RNA (EGUI_LNC077302)
Source: RNAcentral
AGGAGUGGAUACUUCCUGGGUGAAGGCCGGAGUACCAGCCCCUGGCAGCUUUGCGAAGUGUGGCGGGAAAGCCGAUACAAAGAAGAGCAUCGGUUGCCCCCUGGAUCGUCAUAAGAGCCUUGUAGCUCUCCAGGUGGUCAACUGGGUCGGUGGAGCCGUCGUAAGGCUCCACGUGUGGCAUCUUGAACCGAUCGGGGAUCGGUUCGUCGAGGA